CCUACGGGGGGCAGCAGUGAGGAAUAUUGGUCAAUGGACGAGAGUCUGAACCAGCCAAGUAGCGUGAAGGAUGACUGCCCUAUGGGUUGUAAACUUCUUUUAUAAAGGAAUAAAACGAGGCACGUGUGCCUUUUUGCAUGUACUUUAUGACUAAGGAUCGGCUAACUCCGUGCCAGCAGCCGCGGUAAUACGGAGGAUCCGAGCGUUAUCCGGAUUUAUUUGGUUUAAAGGGAGCGUAGAUGGGUUGUUAAGUCAGUUGUGAAAGUUUGCGGCUCAACCGUAAAAUUGCAAUUGAUACUGGCAGUCUUGAGUACAGGUGAGGUAGGCGGAAUUCGUGGUGUAGCGGUGAAAUGCUUAGAUAUCACGAAGAACCCCGAUUGCGAAGGCAGCUUACUAAACUGUGACUGACAUUGAUGCUCGAAAGUGUGGGUAUCAAACAGGAUUAGAUACCCUAGUAGUC
This 460-nucleotide ribosomal RNA is filed under the name uncultured bacterium. RNAcentral describes it as "partial 16S ribosomal RNA". It matches the Rfam family "Bacterial small subunit ribosomal RNA", at positions 338 to 795 of the family's 1533-position model. The record is from RNAcentral.